GGGCUUGAUUAUUUCUUCUCCCAGGUAUCCAAGGAUAGGACACAAGGGAAUGGUUCAGAGCUGUGCAGGAGAGGUUUAGACUAGACAUUAGGAAGCAUUUCUGUACCAAGAGGGUGGGGAAACACCAGAACAGACUUCCAAAAGGGGUGGUCAGUGCCCUGGGUGUGUUUGAGAGGCAUUUGGACAAUGCCCUUUACAACAUGCCUCACUCUUUUGUCAUCCCUGAAGUGCUCAGGCUGUUGGGCUGGAUGGUCAUUGUAGGUCCCUUCCAAGUGAAAUAUUCUGUUCUGUUCUAUUCUUCUGUAUUCAGUUUAUUUCCUUAAUUUCUUACAGGUUUCUCCCUUCUUUCACACUCAUCUGCUCAUGGGUAUGUAUUAAAUGUGUGUGUGAUGGAAAAGAAAUGGUGGGGAACAUGAGAUACUGGUUAGGACAUGGAGGACAGUUUACUGGGAGAGCCAAAGAAAGUCCCCUGGAGCCAGCAGGGAGGUUUCCAGUCAUCCAGGAAGCACAGGGGGCCUAUACACACUCAUACACAAACUGGGGGACAGAGGAAAAUUGAUGCAGCUGCUUUAAAACAACCUUAAAUUGUGGCAGAGAUCAGCUUUUGAGAACAAGCAAUGGGAAUCUGAAGGAUAAGCUUUGAUGAUAAGUCAAGAUCACUGAAAUACUUCAGAUCCAUGGAGGUCACACACUGCCAUGGUCUGAGGGGACAUUUUCCACCAGCAGCUCUGUUUUUGCAUCACAGUUUAUGACUGCAUGAGCAGGACUUUUGAUGGAAAUCCUUGUGGAUAUCUCCAUUCAGGACCGGCAGUGCUGGAUUUCAACGCAUCACAUGCAUUUGCAUGUACACCUGAGAGAAUUUUUUCCCUGUGCUGAACAUGAGGAGAAACCUGUGACCCUAAGAUCGUCACCUCCCUGGGGCAGAGGCUGCUGCGUGCCUGCUGUUUGUCACCGGUUACGUUCCUGCAAAACAGCAAAUGGAUAAAAAGAGUAACCUAACACAUGGAUUUGUGGCAUCUCACAGUUAUUUUGCCGAUGCUGUGUAUAAGGAUUAAAGUGGCCAUUGUUCCAGCAUGAUAUACCUUGUGUCUUAGUCAGCAGCUUCAUUAUUUUACUUAGCAGGAGAUGGCCAAUAAAGUAUUAAGAAGCCAAAUUUGGGACUUGCUU
RNAcentral lists this long non-coding RNA (1167 nucleotides) under Cyanistes caeruleus (blue tit). Its description in RNAcentral is "lncRNA (ENSCCEG00000000025.1)". The record is from RNAcentral. Lineage: Eukaryota; Metazoa; Chordata; Aves; Passeriformes; Paridae.